GAAUCCAAUCAAAUAUUCAUUCGUUAGAGUUCUUAUAAAUAAUUCAAUCUAUCAGGAAAAAAAAAAAAAAUUCAUGAAUUAGUCAGAGUGAGAAAUUGUGAAAUGAAAUUUUGUUGAAUAAAAAAAAAGCUUAUCAGCUGUGUUUUCCCCCCCAUGGAAUAGAAAUAAACGAAACAUAAGUUGGAUUGCUUGGAUGUUGAUCGAAAUCUGUUGUGUCAAUAAUCAUAGGUCAAGGUCUUCAAAGAAAAAAAAUCAAUACGACAAUGUUUAUAUAAAACAAGAAGAAUAACAUUUAUCCGAAAGCCUUAAAGAGUAUGAAUGAGAAUUUUGAGACAUUAUGAUGAUAAUGCCAACCAAGUACCUACGGUGAAGCGAAUUUAAUGGGGAAACCUCUGUCAAAGGGAAAUAAACAGGAUAACGAAAGAAAACAAAAAUAACCCCAAGCACUGUAAAUGUAAAGUUAAGGUGUGUAAAACACCAACCAAGCCUCAAGAGCGUAAAGCCGAAAAAAAAUUCAAAUGGAAUAAAUAUUCAUAAAUGACAGCCGAAACGUAAUGCUCAUUUAAUGGUUAAACCAAAAGCGCCGAAGAGAUUUAAAGCUGAACUACGAAGGCAAAAUAUUAAAUUCCAGGCGCCAAGAAGCUUAGGUGCAAGCCAAAACACAAAGGUCCAAUUGUUCUCCCCACCUCAUGCCCCAAAACACAAUCCAUAGAGAAAAGAAAGCUGGCAUCGAAGCCAAGGCAAGUGAGGUUUUCUCAUUGCUUACCCCAAACACGUCUUUGGCAUACUUAAGUAGUCCAACUCCUACUUUCGCUGCCUGAGGGUAUUACACACCAACCAGCCCGCCCUUACAGCGAAGGGUUUAUUAAAGAUGCUUGAUGUACCAAAAGCCACCUUUGGGCUUAAACAAAACAUUUUAGAUCAUCUUUAGAAGCAGCGUGUAGAAAAAUUCCAUAAAAAAGGCUCCUCCAAGAAGAGAAACAAAAUAAACGGAAGAAAUAAGCUGGCAGGAAGCUCACAGCAAAAUCGGCUAAAGUGUUAAGAAAAACAGCAGCAGCACCAGCAACUACCCAAAAACCACGUUCCUCUUGUGCUGCCUUCCUCUUUAGGGAAUAAAAGAGUUGUGGAGUCGAGUAGGCCACAAAAAGUGGAAAAAACAACAGCUCCGGCAUCCAUCGUCGGUGCAGCUCAGCAGGACAUAACUUUUAAAAACAUUUGCCACUGUGAAACACAGCCAAUAUCAAACUUGUUGGGGUAUUCUCUGACACUUUUGGCUCAGCCUCAAAACACCAGGCAUCCCUUACCACCAAACUCUUUCGGUCAAACUGGUAGGAAAGCAGCAAGGAAAAGAAGGAAUCAUUUUCCUUGGGAUUUCAUGUAGCAGUAUGAAGAGUCAUUGAGGCAGUAGCAAAGUUAAAUUCUGGGAAUUCUAUUAACUGCGAAACUAAAGGAACAGAGCAAAA
Molecule: long non-coding RNA, 1463 nt
Organism: Stomoxys calcitrans (stable fly)
Lineage: Eukaryota; Metazoa; Arthropoda; Insecta; Diptera; Muscidae
Exons: 3
Source: RefSeq, a predicted model, not a curated record